CGUAAGUCCUACAUAAUCUAUUCCACUUCACACCUUAUAGGGGAGAGACAACCAAAAACCAACAAACAUUCAUCUAACUCAAAUACACUCUCUUUAACUUGUUAGCAACCAUGGGGACUGAUUCAAUUUACCGGCGGUCGCCAUUUUACGGCUGUAUGUCACCGUCAUGUAUUCCGGUGCACGAAGAAUAUUCGCGUAUAAACGAGUGUCGCCGGGGAGGACGUGGCAGCUAUGGGAAAACAUGGAGAAAGAUGCUGAAGAAAUUGGUGAAUGAAGGGAAGAAUGUGUAUGGAAAAAAGACUUUGAUGUUUCACUAUGAUGCAGUUAGUUACUCGCAGAAUUUCGAUGAAGGAUGUAAUAAAGAUGAUUAUCCUAUACGUCAUCACCAAGUGUUCAGAGAUUUCAGAAUUACUAAUAUUAUAAUUUAUGAGCUCCAUUGACAUCAUUUCAUCAUCAGUUGGAGCAGUUAGAUAGGAAUCCCGAUGAAAUUGUGAAGGUACGAUUUUGCUAUUGUGGACUUGUUGCGGAUCUUAAGAUGUCCAAGACACCAAUAAAUCUUGGAAGAAGGUUUUGGGGCUGCCAAAGAUAUGCAAGUGGUAAUGAAUAUGGCUAUUUUCGAUGGGUUGAUCCGGCUGAUCCAAUAUGCCAAGAACAAUACAACAUACUAAUAAACUCUACAAGUGUUGGUAGGGAAGGCAUGGAAGGUCGACUUGCUGCAUUGUUGCCACAGUUAUGGUUAUUGUUCUUUGGUUCCUUAUCUUUUGUAUGUAAGAUUAGUUUUCUAGUUCAGUUGUUUAGGCUUGUUAUUUUCAGUUGGAGAGAGCUGCAGGCUGUGCGUCCACCAAACACAAUAUGCAGGGACCUGGUUAUUUACUAGUUCUCUUUCGCAAUGCAGUAAGUACAGAAGGCGAGAUUUUAGUGCGGAAAACUCUUUGCUCAAAAGAUUAAAAACCACGACCUACCCCAGUAGGAUUUCAACUCCA
Lycium barbarum (goji berry) is the source of this 983-nucleotide RNA transcript. RefSeq lists it as uncharacterized. The record is from RefSeq and is a predicted model, not a curated record. Lineage: Eukaryota; Viridiplantae; Streptophyta; Magnoliopsida; Solanales; Solanaceae. The transcript has 3 exons.